Molecule: unclassified non-coding RNA, 362 nt
Filed under: uncultured bacterium
Lineage: Bacteria
Description: contains 16S-23S intergenic spacer region
Source: RNAcentral
UCUCCCGUGAGGGAGCAGUCUCGCCUGACAUAUAUAACAGGCAACGGGGGUUGCGUUCGUUACCCCACUGAAGGGAACAGUUCAAACCACGAACUGACGACGGCCAUGCAUCACCUGUGCAGCACCCUCGGAGGCUCCUAAUCUUUCGAAAAGGAUGCAGCUGCAUUUCUAACCUUGGUAAGGUUCUUCGCGAGACAUCGAAUUAAGCCUCAUGAUCCACCGCUUGUGCGAGUCCCCGUCUAUUCCUUUGAGUUUUAAUCUUGCGAUCGUACUACCCAGGCGGCUCGCUUACCGCGUUAGCUUAGUCCCACAGAGGGUCGAUACUCCGUAGAACGAGCGAGCAGCGUUUAGGGCUAGGACUA